RNAcentral lists this ribosomal RNA (330 nucleotides) under Triticum aestivum (bread wheat). RNAcentral's name for it is "partial small subunit ribosomal RNA". Lineage: Eukaryota; Viridiplantae; Streptophyta; Magnoliopsida; Poales; Poaceae. The record is from RNAcentral.
AUGUUGACAAAAUCACUUAAUAUGCAACCAUCCAUAGGAUUAGGAACCGGUACAAUCCAAUUUACAUCGACAAAACAUAUAACUACAAAGGCUGUCACUCGUGUUCUUGUCGUCGACCCUCCUGAUGGCAAUUAUAUGGCAUGGUGGAUUCUGAUGGACAGCAACAUACCACAGUGCAGCGGUUUGUUUCUACUUGGUUCCCUGCAGUUUGUCUCUACUUGUUAUCCCGCAGUGUUCAAGAUACAGAAGAAAUUCAAAGAAAAAUUAGGGUUAAAGAUCCAGAGAGGAAGCGGUCACCAAAGAGAAGUGUGCCGAAUGAAAGUCAAAUGA